AAAAAAGAUGGGUCUGUUCAGAUCAUCAGCAGCCAUGUUCGUUCUCUUGUUUUUCGCUUUCACCUUGUCCUCAGCCUCUGACAUGUCGAUCAUAUCUUAUGAUCAAACACAUGCUACCAAAUCCAGCUGGAGAACCGAUGACGAGGUCAUGGCUAUAUACGAAGACUGGCUGGUGAAGCACGGCAAGGCCUACAACGCUUUGGGAGAAAGGGAGAGGAGGUUUCAGGUUUUUAAAGACAAUUUAAGGUUCAUUGAUGAGCAUAACUCUGAGAAUCGGACCUACAGGGUCGGGUUGAACCGGUUCGCUGAUCUUACCAACGAGGAGUACCGAUCCAUGUACCUGGGUGGCCGGAGUGGUAUUAAAAGGAACAGGUUGCGUAAAACCAGUGAUCGUUACAAUCCACGUCUCGGCGAGUCUUUGCCGGAUUCCGUUGAUUGGAGGAAAGAAGGAGCCGUCUUAGAGGUCAAAGAUCAAGGAAGUUGUGGGAGCUGCUGGGCUUU
This 501-nucleotide unclassified non-coding RNA is filed under the name Hevea brasiliensis (rubber tree). Lineage: Eukaryota; Viridiplantae; Streptophyta; Magnoliopsida; Malpighiales; Euphorbiaceae. The record is from RNAcentral.